Molecule: ribosomal RNA, 525 nt
Filed under: uncultured bacterium
Lineage: Bacteria
Description: bacterial SSU rRNA
Rfam family: Bacterial small subunit ribosomal RNA
Source: RNAcentral
UGAGGAAUAUUGCGCAAUGGGCGAAAGCCUGACGCAGCAACGCCGCGUGAGGGACGAAGGCCUUCGGGUCGUAAACCUCUUUUCUGGGGAAAGAGCAAGGACGGUACCUCAGGAAUAAGUCUCGGCUAACUACGUGCCAGCAGCCGCGGUAAAACGUAGGAGGCGAGCGUUAUCCGGAUUUACUGGGCGUAAAGCGCACGCAGGCGGCUUCGUUAGUCGGGUGUGAAAGCUCCUAGCUUAACUGGGAGAGGCCAUUCGAUACUGCGAGGCUUGAGGUUGGGAGAGGGGUGUGGAAUUCCCGGUGUAGUGGUGGAAUGCGUAGAUAUCGGAAGGAACAUCAGUGGCGAAGGCGACUUCCUGGACCAAUACUGACGCUCAGGUGCGAAAGCGUGGGGAGCAAACAGGAUUAGAUACCCUGGUAGUCCACGCCCUAAACGAUGAGAACUGGAUGUCGGGAGGGUUUGCCUUCCGGUGUCGUAGCUAACGCGUUAAGUUCUCCGCCUGGGAAGUACGGCCGCAAGGUUG